ACAGCUUGUCAAUGAUGUUUCUUACUAAAAUGUCUGAACAUAUGAACUUCAUAGUGAUUUCAGUGCAUUACUGAGAUAAGCUGGAAA
Coturnix japonica (Japanese quail) is the source of this 87-nucleotide small nucleolar RNA. The record is from Ensembl. Lineage: Eukaryota; Metazoa; Chordata; Aves; Galliformes; Phasianidae.